CAGGAAAAGUUGCUUGAUGGGACUGUAAA
This 29-nucleotide non-coding RNA is filed under the name Mus musculus (house mouse). The record is from RNAcentral. Lineage: Eukaryota; Metazoa; Chordata; Mammalia; Rodentia; Muridae.